GACGAACGCUGGCGGCGUGCUUAACACAUGCAAGUCGAACGGGCCUUGUCCCCUUUUUUUUUGGGGGUGGGGUUAGUGGCGAACGGGUGGGUAACACGUGAGUAACCUGCCCCUCACUUCUGGAUAACCGCUUGAAAGGGUGGCUAAUACGGGGUGUUCUGGCCUGCUCGCAUGGGUGGGUUUGGAAAGAUUCGACCGGUUUUGGUUGUUUUGGUGGUGGAUGGGCUCGCGGCCUAUCAGCCUGUUGGUGGGGUGAUGGCCUGCCAAGGCUUUGACGGGUAGCGGGCAUGAGAGGGUGGACGGUCACACUGGGACUGAGACACGGCCCAGACCCCUACGGGAGGCAGCAGUGGGGAAUAUUGCAAGAGGGGCGAAAGCCUGAUGCAGCGACGCCGCGUGAGAGAUGGAGGCUUUCGGGUUGUGAACCUCUUUCGCCGGUGAAAAAGGUCCUGCUCUUUGUGGUGGGGUUGACGGUAGCUGGGUUAAUGAAGCGCCGGCUAACUACGUG
RNAcentral lists this ribosomal RNA (508 nucleotides) under uncultured bacterium. RNAcentral's name for it is "partial 16S ribosomal RNA". It matches the Rfam family "Bacterial small subunit ribosomal RNA", at positions 28 to 507 of the family's 1533-position model. The record is from RNAcentral.